This 429-nucleotide ribosomal RNA is filed under the name Pseudomonadota bacterium. Its description in RNAcentral is "Proteobacteria bacterium partial 16S ribosomal RNA". It matches the Rfam family "Bacterial small subunit ribosomal RNA", at positions 355 to 776 of the family's 1533-position model. The record is from RNAcentral. Lineage: Bacteria; Pseudomonadati; Pseudomonadota.
UGGGGAAUAUUGGACAAUGGGCGAAAGCCUGAUCCAGCCAUGCCGCGUGUGUGAAGAAGGUCUUCGGUUUGUAAAGCACUUUAAGUGGGGAGGAAGGGCAGUAAGCGAAUACCUUGCUGUUUUGACGUUACCGACAGAAUAAGCACCGGCUACCUCUGUGCCAGCAGCCGCGGUAAUACAGAGGGUGCAAGCGUUAAUCGGAAUUACUGGGCGUAAAGCGCGCGUAGGUGGUUCGUUAAGUUGAAUGUGAAAGCCCCGGGCUCAACCUGGGAACUGCAUCCAAAACUGGCGAGCUAGAGUAGGGCAGAGGGUGGUGGAAUUUCCUGUGUAGCGGUGAAAUGCGUAGAUAUAGGAAGGAACACCAGUGGCGAAGGCGACCACCUGGGCUCAUACUGACACUGAGGUGCGAAAGCGUGGGGAGCAAACAGG